UGGAGAUGAGAGGUGCUGAUGGUGGACCUUGGAGGAGAUUGUGUGCUUUGCCUGCAUUUUGGGUUUGUUUGCUGACUCUUCCUGCAUUUGUUAUGUAUAUCUACAGAGUCUCAUUUACAGCACAGACAUGGGCAGUAUGUUCAUUGUUACUGUACUAAUUAGUACUCCCUCCUUUUUCAAAUUAUAAGGCAUAUUUUGACAGUCCAAAUUGGUGCUUUGACCAACAAUUAGUUUUAAUGAUAUGUGGUUUAUGUUACAUUAAAUAGACAACAUGAUUGGAUCCAUCAUAUCCAAAAGCACAUCUUAUGACUGAUCUUGUAACCAUAACUAAAUAUUAUACGAGAUUACAGUCAAAAUACGCCUUAUAUUUUGAAAUGGAACAAGUAACUUCCAUUUCGUUGCAAAACUCAGAAUCAGCUUUGCAUCUGAUUUGUCCUUCUCUGCAGGUUGGGUUGUUGUAUGACGACGAAUCAUUACAGAGCAUUAUUGACAUGACUUCUGACUGGACAAAGGAAGAAAGAGAGAUGUUGAGACGGAAGGUAUCUCAAGAUAUUUCUGCUCUUUAUCCUUAGUGGUAGAAACUGUUGUCGUUUGGAAACAUCAAUUAGAAGACUAGAAUUUGCACUAGCAGAUUUGAGAGGCAUAAAUUUCUACUUGAAUUGUGAGUGAUCGUGUGUUUUAUUUGAUCAGGUGCCAGUAACUGGUUUGAAGACGCCAUUCCGGGAUGGGUAUGUAAGAGAUUUAGCUGAAGAUGUUCUCCAGUUAGCUAAGGUAACUCCCUAUUUUCUGGCUACUAAUCCUUUCCCAUAAGUCUACAAACAUGCUGCUUGUGAUAACGAUCCUAUUGUGGUGGUGCAGAAUGGAUUAGAAAGAAGAGGAUACAAGGAGGUUGGUUUCCUGAGAGAAGUCGACGAAGUUGUUAGAACAGGUGACGCUUUCAGAACACUUUUAUUCACUUGAUCAAGAUAAAUACUCCAGAUGAUCAAAAUUCUUGUCUUAGAUUCGUCUAGAUACGGAUGUAUCUAAUACUAAAACGUGACUUGAUAUAUCCAUAUUUAGACAAAUCUAAGACAAGAAUUUUGGGACGGAGGGAGUACUAGCUUUGCGACGGCGGGCUGUGAACUGCGCCUUCUCCAGAUGAUAAUUCUCAAUCUACUCUUGUGCAGGAGUGACACCUGCCGAGAAGCUUCUGAAUCUAUACGAGAUGAAGUGGCAGCGCAGCGUGGACCCUGUGUUCGAGGAGUUGUUAUAUUGAUAUGCUGAUAUCGUAUAUAACUUCGGUGGAAGCUGGACAAGGUGGACAGGGUCUUCAGAUUGUAUCCCCAUACAAAAUCCCGUCCCCAAUUCUACAAGCCACCUGACCAGGGAAGCCUACUCUCUGGUCUCGCGGCUGCGAAUAAUUUUGAGCUCGGAACACUCUGUUUGUGGCUUGCCGCCUUUCUUUCUUUGGCUGUGUGGACCUUUUACAGCUUCUGAUUUUUCUCGCAUCUCCAGGGAGCCGGAACAAGCACCUGUUUGUACCGAUCCCUUUUUCAUCUUUUCCUGAUGAACGGCUUGUAUUCCGAAUAAAUCCAUCUCGCGUGAUGAUGGAAGGAACCUGAUUUCCAGAAAUAAUAAUUCAGAGUGUUUGAGACGUAUGCUCGGGUUAAAGCACUUCAAAAGUGUAAAG
This 1669-nucleotide long non-coding RNA is filed under the name Triticum aestivum (bread wheat). Its description in RNAcentral is "long non-coding RNA (TAES_LNC005265)". The stretch from base 967 to 1100 matches the Rfam family "MIR1120/MIR1122 microRNA precursor family". The record is from RNAcentral. Lineage: Eukaryota; Viridiplantae; Streptophyta; Magnoliopsida; Poales; Poaceae.